UCGGGGAUCGUCUAAUGGUAGGACAACAGGUUCUGGACCUGUUUAUCUUGGUUCGAAUCCAGGUCCCCGAGCGA
This 74-nucleotide transfer RNA is filed under the name Candidatus Magasanikbacteria bacterium CG10_big_fil_rev_8_21_14_0_10_40_10. RNAcentral describes it as "tRNA-Gln". It matches the Rfam family "tRNA". Rfam says of the family: Transfer RNA (tRNA) molecules are approximately 80 nucleotides in length. Their secondary structure includes four short double-helical elements and three loops (D, anti-codon, and T loops). Further hydrogen bonds mediate the characteristic L-shaped molecular structure. tRNAs have two regions of fundamental functional importance: the anti-codon, which is responsible for specific mRNA codon recognition, and the 3' end, to which the tRNAs corresponding amino acid is attached (by aminoacyl-tRNA synthetases). tRNAs cope with the degeneracy of the genetic code in two manners: having more than one tRNA (with a specific anti-codon) for a particular amino acid; and 'wobble' base-pairing, i.e. permitting non-standard base-pairing at the 3rd anti-codon position. The record is from RNAcentral. Lineage: Bacteria; Candidatus Magasanikiibacteriota.